UGCAAUCAUCGCACAUGCACCCCUAUCAAAUACAAUACACUGGUACUUUCAAUCACUGAGAUUAUACCCUAGUGUAAAUGAAAAUGUGUACCGCUUCGUACACAGACCUUUUGACCGAUGCAACAAUAUCACCAACUGAACUAUUUUCAGGAUCAAGGGCUCCACUUGCCCAGCUGAAUAGCAUAUGUCAAUACAAACAGGCAAAAGUAUAAAUCAGGUUGAUAACUUUGGCAAGCAGUGUAUAAUAUGAACCAUAAAUAUAUGAACAAUGAUAGUAAGUCUGUGAUGGUAAAAUAAGCUCAUAUAACAAAUAUGUCUUUCUGGUAAAACCAUGUAUCAUAUCCCAUGCUAUAUAAGAUCAUCAACUUCAUAUCCCAUGCUAUAUAAUGUCUUGGAUGGGCAAGACGGUUAAAACCCAAUGGUAGAUUAUAUAAUGUCUUGGAUUAUUAAGAUCAUAAAAGCGAGCGCGCACACUCAAAUUCACUAUUACAAAGAAAAUGUGAAAGAACCCCUAAUUAAACCAUUUCCUACCUUUGAGUCCACAAACCAUAGCUAUAAAAAGUUCAAAUAUAAAUAGAAGAGAUGUACCACUGAUCAUCGACAUCCAUGUCAGACUCUCGAUCCCACCUUUCAUCUUCAUUAUCUUCAUCUGCCUAAAAGUUAAAAUAUUUUUAUGAAAAACUCACUUGUCUAGUUAGGCAUACUAUAAUCUGAUAUCUUGUUACACAGGGUUAAAUGAAUAUGCAGAAAGUCUAUAAUGCACCCAACAUUAUUUCAUCAUUUCCUCUCUAUAAAAUAACUACAAGGAAAAGAAAAAUGAAAAAUUAAAUAAAAAUGCUUGAGCAUGAAGGUGAAUAUUUGAAUUUUGUUUUGGAAAACCUCCAACUACCUAUAAUUAGUACUCUCUCCAUCCUACAAAUAAUGUUAGAAAGAAGGUUCUCCUCUUAUAUUUGGAACAAUUUUCUUCUGAAAAUCAUGAGGAAUGUUAAACCAACAGUGGAUAUUCCAGAAUGAGGUACGACCCAUACAAAUGAAAAAUUCAACAUUCAAUUUUUUGGACAAGAGCAAUGAUAAUUUCAACAUUAUCUCUUCCAUCAUAUCUCUCACCUCAAAGUAGAUAAAAAGCCAUUACACCCACUAUGGAGAAUCUUCUCUGUUGGUGUAUCUUUUUUUAAUGAAUCAGAAAGAAAGCAGGAAAUAUAUUUUUUAAAUAUAAAAAUAUUUUGAGAAUCUUAGCAGUUACCAAUAGUUAACCAAAUGCACAUUAAACUUCCAUUGGAGGUUAGCCCUUUUUACCUUGCAGGGCAGCAGAAGACAGACAAUUGUGAAAUUCUAUAUCAAUUUGUUUUCGUUCAUUGCAGGCAAGCAGUUAGGCAUACCGGUGAACAUUACAUAAGCAGUCAUUUUUGGCCAUGGUCCUUCAUCAAAAGCUUAUCACGAAGGUUAAAAUGGAUAAAAGUUCUAAUUAUAUGCAGGAAAACUAGUCGCCUUUCAAUUAAAAUUACCAAGCGUGCUGCAAAUAAUGAACAACAGUGUAUACAAGUCAAGCUCUCAUGCAAAUAAUAACUAAUGCAAGGAAACACACAGUUCAUCCCUUACCUUCUUAGGGUUGAGCAAGUAAUCAUACAGAGUCGCCGCCGGAACCGGUUGUCUGUCCACUCAACAAAUCUAGAGUUCCUUUAGAAAUCAAAUUCGCCGGCAGAAACGCAUGCUUAUCCGGCACAUCGCCCGUCACCGACGCCCCAUCGAGCAAAAUCGUCUCCUUCGGGGGACAAUUGGACCAGUUAGGGUUCGAAUCGUUAAGCUGGAGGUACUGAUCGGGCCUCGUGUAGGAGGCGACGAGAGGUGAAGAACAAAUCAGCCUACGAGAACGGAGAAAUAGCGAGAGCUGUCAAGAGAUCAGUCACUUGACAUACUUAAGAUGAAGAACAAAUCCAAAGAGAGAGAACUUACGAUGAAAACGUAGCCUAAGAGAUCGGAGAAAUAGUAUCUUUUUAAUUUUAAGUUUUCACUUAGCGCCUUUUUUUUUGCUCCGU
RNAcentral lists this long non-coding RNA (2036 nucleotides) under Panax ginseng (ginseng). Its description in RNAcentral is "long non-coding RNA (PGIN_LNC011851)". Lineage: Eukaryota; Viridiplantae; Streptophyta; Magnoliopsida; Apiales; Araliaceae. The record is from RNAcentral.